RNAcentral lists this ribosomal RNA (574 nucleotides) under uncultured bacterium. RNAcentral describes it as "bacterial SSU rRNA". It matches the Rfam family "Bacterial small subunit ribosomal RNA", at positions 338 to 916 of the family's 1533-position model. The record is from RNAcentral.
CCUACGGGAGGCAGCAGUGAGGAAUAUUGGACAAUGGGCGCAAGCCUGAUCCAGCCAUGCCGCGUGCAGGAAGAAGCAUCUAUGGUGUGUAAACUGCUUUUGUACAGGAAGAAACACUCCCUCGUGAGGGAGCUUGACGGUACUGUAAGAAUAAGGACCGGCUAACUCCGUGCCAGCAGCCGCGGUAAUACGGAGGGUCCGAGCGUUAUCCGGAAUCAUUGGGUUUAAAGGGUCCGUAGGCGGUUUAAUAAGUCAGUGGUGAAAUCUGGUCGCUCAACGAUCAAACGGCCAUUGAUACUGUUAGACUUGAAUUAUAAGGAAGUAACUAGAAUAUGUAGUGUAGCGGUGAAAUGCUUAGAUAUUACAUGGAAUACCAAUUGCGAAGGCAGGUUACUACUUAUGGAUUGACGCUGAUGGACGAAAGCGUGGGGAGCGAACAGGAUUAGAUACCCUGGUAGUCCACGCCGUAAACGAUGGAUACUAGCUGUUCGGAGCAAUCUGAGUGGCUAAGCGAAAGUGAUAAGUAUCCCACCUGGGGAGUACGUUCGCAGAAUGAACUUAAAUGAAUUGACGG